This 487-nucleotide ribosomal RNA is filed under the name uncultured bacterium. RNAcentral's name for it is "bacterial SSU rRNA". It matches the Rfam family "Bacterial small subunit ribosomal RNA", at positions 28 to 502 of the family's 1533-position model. The record is from RNAcentral.
GAUGAACGCUAGCGAUAGGCCUAACACAUGCAAGUCGAGGGGCAUCACAUGAAGUAGCAAUACGGAUGGUGGCGACCGGCGCACGGGUGAGUAACACGUAUGCAACCUGCCUUCAACAAGGGGAUAACCCGUUGAAAGACGGACUAAUACCCUAUAACACAGGGGUCCCGCAUGGGAAUAUUUGUUAAAGGACAACCGGUUGAAGAUGGGCAUGCGUUCCAUUAGCUAGUUGGCGGGGUAACGGCCCACCAAGGCAACGAUGGAUAGGGGAACUGAGAGGUUUAUCCCCCACACUGGUACUGAGACACGGACCAGACUCCUACGGGAGGCAGCAGUGAGGAAUAUUGGUCAAUGGACGCAAGUCUGAACCAGCCACGUCGCGUGAAGGAAGACGGCCCUACGGGUUGUAAACUUCUUUUAUACGGGAAGUAAAGUGCCCCACCGCGUGGGGUUUUGCAUGUACCGUAUGAAUAAGGAUCGGCUAACU